UAUCUCUGUAGAGUCUGCAUAUCAAUAAGCGGAGGAAAAGAAACUAACUAGGAUUCCCUCAGUAACGGCGAGUGAAGCGGGAAGAGCUCAAAUUUGAAAUCUCCAAGGUUCUACCUUGACGAAUUGUAGUUUAAAGAAGUGUUUUCUGUUGGAGUUUUGGUAAAAGUUCUUUGGAAUAGGACAUCAUAGAGGGUGAGAAUCCCGUAUUUGACCAUUAUUUCCAGCUUUGUGAUACACUUUCAAAGAGUCGGAUUGUUUGGGAAUGCAGUCCAAAAUGGGUGGUAAAUUUCAUCUAAAGCUAAAUAUUGGCGAGAGACCGAUAGCGAACAAGUACCGUGAGGGAAAGAUGAAAAGAACUUUGAAAAGAGAGUUAAACAGUACGUGAAAUUGUCAAAAGGGAAGCGUUUGACACCAGUGUUGUUUUCUCGAAAAUCAAUUAAAAAAGGCAGGAUUUUGUGUUGUAUUGACUUUAUCAGCUUUCUGCACUCUUUUCUUGUCUUUUUUAAUGCACUUUUCGUUUAACAAGUCAACAUCAAUUUCUUUUGUUGUAAAAGGGUCAUUGGAAGGUGGCUUCCUUUUCGGAGAAAGUGUUUAUAGCCUUUGGCCUCUGCAAUCGGAGAGAUUGAGGUCUGCAGCGUAGAUCCUACGGGGUUAGAUACAUUUGUGCUAAGUUAUAGCCUUUCAUAGACAACUUGUUGACUAUGAUCAGUCAUGUAGCUUACUCGCUUAUGCUAUUUUACCUACGCUUAGGAUGUUGACGAUCAGCUGAGCGCG
RNAcentral lists this ribosomal RNA (774 nucleotides) under uncultured Neocallimastigales. Its description in RNAcentral is "partial large subunit ribosomal RNA". It matches the Rfam family "Eukaryotic large subunit ribosomal RNA", at positions 24 to 627 of the family's 3401-position model. The record is from RNAcentral. Lineage: Eukaryota; Fungi; Neocallimastigomycota; Neocallimastigomycetes; Neocallimastigales.